AAUGAACGUUGGCGGCGUGGAUUAGGCAUGCAAGUCGAACGAGAAUCGACCCUUCGGGGGAGUGGACAGUGGCGAACUGCGUAGUAAUAGAUAGGUGACGUGCCCCAAGGUCUGGGAUAGCCGCGGGAAACUGCGGGUAAUACCGGAUGAUCUCUUCGGACAUGAUGGUUUGAGGAGCAAAGGUGAGAUUCCGUCUUGGGAGCGGCUUAUUGAGUAUUAGCUUGUUGGUGGGGUAACGGCCUACCAAGGCUCCGAUGCUUAGGGGGUGUUAGCGCAUGGCCCCACGACUGGGACUGAGGACUGCCCAGACACCUACGGGUGGCUGCAGUCGAGAAUCUUCGGCAAUGGACGAAAGUCUGACCGAGCGACGCCGCGUGCGGGAUGAAGGCCCUUGGGUUGUAAACCGCUGUCAGAGGGGAUGAAAUUCCGGAAGGCAAUCCUUCCGGAUUGACAGAGCCUCAAAGGAAGCACGGGCUAAGUACGUG
This 485-nucleotide ribosomal RNA is filed under the name uncultured bacterium. RNAcentral describes it as "bacterial SSU rRNA". It matches the Rfam family "Bacterial small subunit ribosomal RNA", at positions 29 to 507 of the family's 1533-position model. The record is from RNAcentral.